GCUACGGGAGGCAGCAGUGAGGAAUAUUGGUCAAUGGACGCAAGUCUGAACCAGCCAAGUAGCGUGCAGGAUGACGGCCCUCCGGGUUGUAAACUGCUUUUAGUUGGGAAUAAAAGGGGGCUCGUGAGCCCCGUAUUGUAUGUACCAUCAGAAAAAGGACCGGCUAAUUCCGUGCCAGCAGCCGCGGUAAUACGGAAGGUCCGGGCGUUAUCCGGAUUUAUUGGGUUUAAAGGGAGCGUAGGCCGGCUUUUAAGUCAGCUGUGAAAGUCCGCGGCUCAACCGUGGAAUUGCAGUUGAAACUGGUUUUCUUGAGUGAGCGAGAAGUAUGCGGAAUGCGUGGUGUAGCGGUGAAAUGCAUAGAUAUCACGCAGAACUCUGAUUGCGAAGGCAGCAUACCGGCGCUCAACUGACGCUCAUGCACGAAAGUGUGGGUAUCGAACAGGAUUAGAUACCCGGGUAGUC
Molecule: ribosomal RNA, 462 nt
Filed under: uncultured bacterium
Lineage: Bacteria
Description: partial 16S ribosomal RNA
Rfam family: Bacterial small subunit ribosomal RNA
Source: RNAcentral